Molecule: ribosomal RNA, 857 nt
Filed under: uncultured soil archaeon
Lineage: Archaea
Description: bacterial SSU rRNA
Rfam family: Archaeal small subunit ribosomal RNA
Source: RNAcentral
CUGACUGCUAUCAGAACGGGACUAAGCCAUGCGAGUUUACCAAUCAAAGCAUGUUGGUUGGCGGCGAACGGCUCAGUAACACGUAGUCAACCUGCCCUCGGGUCGAGUAUAAUCUCGGGAAACUGAGGCUAAUUCUCGAUAGAUCAAAAUUCCCUGGAAUGGGUUUUGGUCCAAACGGCGUAACAGCAUCUUGUUAUUUUCGCCCGAGGAUGGGACUGCGGCCGAUCAGGCUGUUGGUGGGGUAAAGGCCCACCAAACCAGUAACCGGUACGGGCUUUGAGAGAAGGAGCCCGGAGAUGGACACUGAGACAAGGGUCCAGGUCCUACGGGGCGCAGCAGGCGCGAAACCUUCGCAAUGCGCGCAAGCGCGACGAGGUUAUUCUGAGUGAUUUCCGCUGAGGAAAUCUUUUCUUAGAUCUAAAAAGUCUGGGGAAUAAGGGGAGGGCAAGUCUGGUGUCAGCCGCCGCGGUAAUACCAGCUCCUCGAGUGGUCAGGGCGUUUAUUGGGCCUAAAGCAUCCGUAGCCUGCUCAGUAGGUCUCCUGUUAAAUCCAACGGCUCAACCGUUGGUCUGCAGGAGAUACCGCUGGGCUAGGAGGCGGGAGAGGCGGACGGUACUCCGAGGGUAGGGGUAAAAUCCUUUGAUCCCCGGAAGACCACCAGUGGCGAAGGCGGUCCGCCAGAACGCGCUCGACGGUGAGGGAUGAAAGCUGGGGGAGCGAACCGGAUUAGAUACCCGGGUAGUCCCAGCUGUAAACGAUGCGAGCUAGGUGACACGACGCCUUCGGGGCAUCGUGGUGCCGCAGGGAAGCCGUUAAGCUCGCCGCCUGGGGAGUACGGACGCAAGUCUGAAACUUAA